AGAGUUCCUUCCUGGCUCAGAUUGAACGCUGGCGGCAUGCCUUACACAUGCAAGUCGAACGGCAGCACGGGAGCAAUCCUGGUGGCGAGUGGCGAACGGGUGAGUAAUAUAUCGGAACGUGCCCAGUCGUGGGGGAUAACGCAGCGAAAGCUGUGCUAAUACCGCAUACGAUCUCUGGAUGAAAGCGGGGGACUCAGCAAUGGGCCUCGCGCGAUUGGAGCGGCCGAUAUCAGAUUAGCUAGUUGGUGGGGUAAAAGCCCACCAAGGCGACGAUCUGUAGCUGGUCUGAGAGGACGACCAGCCACACUGGAACUGAGACACGGUCCAGACUCCUACGGGAGGCAGCAGUGAGGAAUUUUCUGCAAUGGGCGAAAGCCUGACAGAGCAAUACCGCGUGAGGGAUGAAGACUUACUGAGUUGUAAACCUCGGUACCUUAAGGAAGAAGAUCUGACGGUACUUAAGGUGGAAAGCAUCGGCUAACUCCGUGCCAGCAGCCGCGGUAAGACGGGGGAUGCAAGUGUUAUCCGGAUUUACUGGGCGUAAAGCGUCUGCAGGUGGUUUCUUAAGUCUACUGUUAAAUCUUGAGGCUCAACCUCAAAUCUGCAGUAGAAACUAGGAGACUUGAGUAUAGUAGGGGUAGAGGGAAUUUCCAGUGGAGCGGUGAAAUGCGUAGAUAUUGGAAAGAACACCGAUGGCGAAGGCACUCUACUGGGCUAUUACUGACACUCAGAGACGAAAGCUAGGGGAGCAAAAAAGAUUAGAUACCCCAGUAGUCCUAGCCAUAAACGAUGGAUACUCGAUGUUGGACGUAUCGACCCGCUCAGUAUCUUAGCUAACGCGUUAAGUAUCCCGCCUGGGGAGUACGCUCGCAAGAGUGAAACUCAAAGGAAUAGACGGGGGCCCGCACAAGCGGUGGAGGAUGUGGUUUAAUUCGAUGCAACGCGGAGAACCUUACCAGGGUUUGCUAGAAGUGUUGGUUUUCUGAAAAGAAUUCCUUAUUCCGCUUCUACAGGUGGUGCAUGGCUGUCGUCAGCUCGUGUCGUGAGAUGUUGGGUUAAGUCCCGCAACGAGCGCAACCCUUAUUUUUAGUUCUAUUGUCUAGAAAGACUGCCGGUGACAAACCGGAGGAAGGUGAGGACGACGUCAAGUCAUCAUGCCCCUUACACCCUGGGCUACACACGUCCUACAAUGGGUAAGACAAUAAGUUGCAAAUUCGCGAGAAUAAGCUAAUCUUUGAAACUUACUCCAAGUACAGAUUGCAGGCAGCAACUCGCCUGCAUGAAGGUGGAAUCGCUAGUAAUCGCUGGUCAGCUACACAGCGGUGAAUCCAAUGCCGGGCCUUGCACACACCGCCCGUCA
Molecule: ribosomal RNA, 1360 nt
Filed under: uncultured bacterium
Lineage: Bacteria
Description: partial 16S ribosomal RNA
Rfam family: Bacterial small subunit ribosomal RNA
Source: RNAcentral